GGUGAAGCUGUCUGAGGGGUGCUGGAGCGAAGGGGAGGGCUAUAAAUAGGCCUGCGACGGUGAGCCGAUUCGAGAGCGCUGGUGACUCACCGUGGCGCGCAUGGGGGUGUAGGGAGGAGCUGGGGUCAAAACCACGGUCUCAGGACGUGGUUUUGGACAGCCAGAACCAUCUGCAACAGAGGAAGAGAGAUAGGAGUCGAGCAUCCGUGGCCGCGCAACCUUGGCCGGUUCUAGUG
This 236-nucleotide long non-coding RNA is filed under the name Hordeum vulgare. RNAcentral's name for it is "long non-coding RNA (HVUL_LNC004663)". Lineage: Eukaryota; Viridiplantae; Streptophyta; Magnoliopsida; Poales; Poaceae. The record is from RNAcentral.